This is a long non-coding RNA of Aptenodytes forsteri (emperor penguin), 3722 nucleotides long. RefSeq lists it as uncharacterized. Lineage: Eukaryota; Metazoa; Chordata; Aves; Sphenisciformes; Spheniscidae. The record is from RefSeq and is a predicted model, not a curated record. The transcript is spliced from 2 exons.
UGUUAAAGUUUUAUUUUAUUAAAUUUUGUGCCAGUAUUUUUUUUUUUUUUUAAAAUAGUCUUAAGCUCUAAGAUGGUCUCAGUAUUGCAAUAUUGUGUGUGUUUGUUUCUGUUAUGCCAGCAGAGAGUUUUAUCACAGUGAGGAAAAAGAAAGAAAAGAAAAAAAAAAACAAACCCCAAAUUAGUUUAUGUAGACCCCACUGGAGAAGUGUAGCGCUACGACUCGGCAUCUCCGAAUCGUAUGUGAAGGAAAAUUAACUCCAAACUGGCUCCUAGUGAUGCUGGCUGGGUGUGCCGCUCUCGCUUCCAGUCCCACACGCUUUGCUCCGCCAUUUGCUGAUAAAGCUGGUUGAAAUUUUCGCUUUUUUUGUUGCUGUUAAAAAAGGGGCCUUGUUGUACGGCUGCGUUUUGUGCCCGAAACCUGUCGAGAUUUGCGGGGAAAAUGUCUUUUUGCGUUUUCCAAAUCACUUUUUUGCUCAAGAAACACUUCGGUGCUUUCAGAAAGUUUGGGUUGGUUUUUUUUUUGGAGGGGAAAGGGGAGAAAUUCCCACGUUUUGAAUGUGGUAAAUGGAAAAUAUAGAAGUCGACUGGGGGGAAAGAAACCAGGAAAAAAGUUGAAAAACCAAAGGGAAAUGUUUUUUCCUUCCUGUUUCGACCAGCUCUGUCUUUAUUGCUGUAUGUCUUAACCAGCCUGGGCACAUGCAGAAAGGAAAUUGUCCUUGCGAAUGGGUUCUUUACUGCUCUUUGUAAGCCUGAUCCUGCAAACCCUGUCAGGGUGUGAUUAACAUGAAGCAUAUGACCGGUGUUGCCGGGGUAGACGAGAGGUCUCAUGUGCUUGCCCGAGGCGGUUGCGGGAUCAGUCCCGGGGGGAGCUGCUCCGUCUGUCCUCCAAGCCUUUUGCAGCAUGGUUUACGUUCAGAGGGGUAAAUCCUGCUGCACCGAGCACUUCCCGGGAUGCUCUGAGCAGACCGAGGCUGACGACUGCCUUCGGGGUGGGCUCGGUGUGAGUUAGAGGGUCAGGCGGUGAGCGUUUCCAUAUCCAGAUACGACCCCGAAGCCGGAUCCGUGUGGAUCCGACUGCUGAAAUGGGGUCUUUCGCCCCUGAGAGCCACUGGGCGUUUUCUUUUUAAAGACAGUAUUACACAUUUGAACAAAAACUACCUUCUUUUUGUGUUGUUUGUCUGUCCGUCGGUGUGUUUUAGGUAGUUGCGUUCAUUACAGAGGCACUGUGAGAUGGUAGUGGCGGGGCAAGGUGGGGAGAAGCUUUCCAGAGAUGCUUGCUGGGCGAUGCCUGCCUGAUACAGGCUGACAUAUCGGGUCGGCAGGACAGGACUCUGGGUGCGAAGAGCCAAAAUAUUCGGGCACAUAACGCCCCCUGCGCAGGGGCAGCGUUGGACGGGGAGCUCGACCCCAGGGCAAGGUGAUGCUCAGAGGUGCUGGGCUCUCCUCCGCUUCCUCCGGAGCUGGGGGCACCCAGCACCUCUGUAUCCCCGGUUGGUCAUUUUGGGAUGAGUCAGCCCCAAAACUGCUGUGUGCUUAAAAAAAGGUGAUGGUGGAGGGGAAAUGAGCAGGCCAAGAGGGAGCUCCAGCCAAGGGGGAUGGAAGCAGAUGGUGGUUUAGGUAAGGGAGGUUAUUAGUUAUGCUGUUAGCUCAUGGGGCUGGGGCUGCGCAUGGAAAGAAAAGGGUGGGAUGGAUGGAAAGGAAGGAAAAGGGGAUGGAAGGAGGGUGGAAGGAGCAUGCACCAAAGGAGGAAAGGGACGCUGCCCGCUGGGAGGUUAAACUUCAGCUCAUCUCCUCAGGCAGACAGGGCAGAUGGGAGAAGGCAGCUUGGCCGAGCUGGGGAGAGGAAAGGAAAGCAUAGAUAUCGUGGACGAGGUCCCCCCACCGGCAAGGCACCGGGGUAGAGCUCUACCGCAGAGCCAAGGCUCGCCGCAGCCGCUGAGCGGGCUGAAAAGGGAGUCGAGCAAGAUGUGACGGCACAGCAAUGUGCAGGGGAGGAGUAGUCAAAGAGCAUCCCAACAGGACACACCGUAUGAGUUGGUUUUUUUAGGUAUUCGGGGUUGCUGUCUCGCAUGCAGCUGCAAAGCGCCCUUAGCUUACCCUUCGUGGGCCACUUCCAGCAGUGCUUUGAAAAAUCCCCCUUACACCCUUAGAAAGGGUGCUGCCAGGAGGCCAGGCGCCCCAUCUCCUGCCCUUGGCACCAUGCCGUGCCCCAGGACAUGUCUCCUGCUUUGCUUGGACGCUCCGCUGCAGCUGAAGUGCCUUUUUCAAGCAGAAAACGGGGACAAAAUUUCUCUCCGACGGAAGGAACCGCAGGUUCGGGUACCAACCCCAUCCUUCUGCCAGGCUAAAUCCCUCAUCCGCUCCGCCGUGCUUAUUUUUUCCAGGUUUCCAAGCCGAACCUGUGUGUUCCCAAUGAUUUUGGGAAGACGGUCUAAAGGUUAGAAAGGGCGAAUCGUGGAAAGCAGCUCUGUUUUUUGGAAGUAGCCCCCUGGCUGGAGCUUCUCCAUCAUUUCUCACGGCCGUUUGCAAUCCCAGCUCGCAGCCUGUGUGCACGUGCAGCAGCAAAAGGGCAGUACAGUCCUAGGGACAUCAGGUUCAUAAUUUUCUGUUUUCCUUUACUUCUUAUUCCCAAUCUAGAGACCAUCCCGGAGAGGGCUGUGUGCUGUUUAUACACUGGAAAUUUGCAGAUUUGUUUUUGUUUCUUUUUUUUUUUUUUCCCCUUUUUCUUUCUGCUUUUUAAUUGCAUGUUGACUUUUGGCGAGGGAUGUGCUGGAACCCAAACCCUCUGACCUCCUAUUCUUCGAGGCCACGAAAAUUUGGUUAACCCACGCACACGUGCUGGACCAGAAGGAUGGGUUUGAGAGGGACGAUGGAGAUCUGCCAGGGAUGGGGCUCGCUCCUGUGCUGGUUUCUCUGCGUGGGGGCGAGCUUCACCCUCGGUAGAUACACGUGGCUUUUGGAAACGGGGUAGUUUCGUCUUGUUUUGGAAUGUCUCAGGUGCGUUCGGUAAUUUUGGGAUAUUUUCUGUGUUCUGCUCGUGAUCUGCUGUUCUCCGUGCAGGGGCAUGUCCCCUUCGCCCCCGCCCCAGCAAAGCCUGAGCCCUACCUUGGGAGCUUAGCUCUUGCAAACAGCUUUCCAGGGCCUCGGCAGUCGAUAUUUGUGACCUCAGUAAAAGGAAAAAAAAAAAAAAAAAAAAGAUGAAAAAUGCAAGCACUUUUUCUGCUGCCUGUCUCUCUCCACCUCUGCGCGUAGGAUGACCAUAACCCAUGGACACUCGUGUGUGUGCAAGUGUAGAUCCAUUUUAUUUCCGCACGACCACCGUCCCGCUCCAGACGUGAUCGUUCAGGUGGAGAAACGGCCAAACAGGGCAAAAAAUAGAAGAUGCUGUAAGAUUUAACCUUCUCACGUCUUUCCAAACCAACUCCUCCUCCUCCAAAAAAAAAAAGGUCCCUGUAAGCACCGGUAAAUUCAGAUGCUGCGGGAAACGUCUCCAUCUUCUGACUCUUGCUCUUCUGGAGGGGUUUUCUGCGAGGCUUUAGGGCUUGGUUGCUUGCUCCUCGUUAACGUCGCAAAAUUCGGAUGCCUUGACGUGCUCUGCUCUCUGGUAGGGUCUAUAUAACAUCCGUGAGCUGUUGUCUACAUUCCAAAGAGGUUUAAAUAAAUGAUAAAUCUAUGUAUACAUCUAUGUUAUAAUGGAAUAUCUCCAGGAAUUUGCUGCCU